GACUACGCUCUAUAACCCUUUGUGACAUACCUAUAACUGUUGCUUCGGCGGGUAGGGUCUCCGCGACCCUCCCGGCCUCCCGCCUCCGGGCGGGUCGGCGCCCGCCGGAGGAUAACCAAACUCUGAUUUAACGACGUUUCUUCUGAGUGGUACAAGCAAAUAAUCAAAACUUUUAACAACGGAUCUCUUGGUUCUGGCAUCGAUGAAGAACGCAGCGAAAUGCGAUAAGUAAUGUGAAUUGCAGAAUUCAGUGAAUCAUCGAAUCUUUGAACGCACAUUGCGCCCGCCAGCAUUCUGGCGGGCAUGCCUGUUCGAGCGUCAUUUCAACCCUCAAGCUCUGCUUGGUGUUGGGGCCCUACAGCUGAUGUAGGCCCUCAAAGGUAGUGGCGGACCCUCCCGGAGCCUCCUUUGCGUAGUAACUUUACGUCUCGCACUGGGAUCCGGAGGGACUCUUGCCGUAAAACCCCCCAAUUUUCCAAAGGUUGACCUCGGAUCAGGUAGGAAUACCCGCUGAACUUAAGCAUAUCAAUAAGCGGAGGAA
RNAcentral lists this ribosomal RNA (541 nucleotides) under Colletotrichum sp. MJ37. Its description in RNAcentral is "eukaryotic LSU rRNA". The stretch from base 168 to 321 matches the Rfam family "5.8S ribosomal RNA". The record is from RNAcentral. Lineage: Eukaryota; Fungi; Ascomycota; Sordariomycetes; Glomerellales; Glomerellaceae.